Molecule: ribosomal RNA, 254 nt
Filed under: uncultured bacterium
Lineage: Bacteria
Description: partial 16S ribosomal RNA
Rfam family: Bacterial small subunit ribosomal RNA
Source: RNAcentral
UACAUGUGGGGCAAGCGUUGUUCGGAUUUACUGGGCGUAAAGGGCGCGUAGGCGGUCGUGACAAGUCACUUGUGAAAUCUCCGGGCUUAACUCGGAACGGUCAAGUGAUACUGUCGGACUAGAGUACAGAAGGGGCAACUGGAAUUCUCGGUGUAGCGGUGAAAUGCGUAGAUAUCGAGAGGAACACCUGCGGCGAAGGCGGGUUGCUGGGCUGAUACUGACGCUGAGGCGCGAAAGCCAGGGGAGCGAACGGG